GUUAAAAUUGCCUUUAGUGGAGGCGCUAGCUAUUUCUAUUUUUGUAUUGAUGGUCGAAGGAUCUCUAGUUCCUUAAUUUGUCAAGCAUUUACAUGGAAAAUUCAUAAUAACAAAAUUUAGAUUGAUCUUCCCAGGUUGCUUCCUCAGGAGGUAAAUUAUGCCACUUGAUCAACCCUUGCAAUACAGGUUAUUGAUCUCAAGUAAUGGUCUUGGUCUGCAGAGCUUGCUUAGGUGCCACAUCCAUUUGAUCUUCCUCCAUAGUUGGUAACUCGGCUAAUGGAGUGACAUUAUUUCCCAACUUCCUUUGCAGCAUUGAGACAUGAAAAACAGGA
Molecule: unclassified non-coding RNA, 332 nt
Filed under: Hevea brasiliensis (rubber tree)
Lineage: Eukaryota; Viridiplantae; Streptophyta; Magnoliopsida; Malpighiales; Euphorbiaceae
Source: RNAcentral